UUGACAUCCAGAGAACUUAGCAGAGAUGCUUUGGUGCCUUCGGGAACUCUGAGACAGGUGCUGCAUGGCUGUCGUCAGCUCGUGUUGUGAAAUGUUGGGUUAAGUCCGCAACGAGCGCAACCCUUAUCCUUUGUUGCCAGCGGUUCGGCCGGGAACUCAAAGGAGACUGCCGGUGAUAAACCGGAGGAAGGUGGGGAUGACGUCAAGUCAUCAUGGCCCUUACGGCCAGGGCUACACACGUGCUACAAUGGCGCAUACAAAGAGAAGCGACCUCGCGAGAGCAAGCGGACCUCAUAAAGUGCGUCGUAGUCCGGAUUGGAGUCUGCAACUCGACUCCAUGAAGUCGGAAUCGCUAGUAAUCGUAGAUCAGAAUGCUACGGUGAAUACGUUCCCGGGCCUUGUACACACCGCCCGUCACACCAUGGGAGUGGGUUGCAAAAGAAGUAGGUAGCUUAACCUUCGGGAGGGCGCUUACCACUUUGUGAUUCAUGACUGGGGUGAAGUCGUAACAAGGUAGGCGUACGUGU
Molecule: ribosomal RNA, 527 nt
Filed under: uncultured bacterium
Lineage: Bacteria
Description: bacterial SSU rRNA
Rfam family: Bacterial small subunit ribosomal RNA
Source: RNAcentral